Pseudonaja textilis is the source of this 895-nucleotide non-coding RNA. Lineage: Eukaryota; Metazoa; Chordata; Lepidosauria; Squamata; Elapidae. The record is from RefSeq and is a predicted model, not a curated record.
UUUUCCCUUUGUUUUUUUUUUUGGACGCAACUUUUACAAUUUCAACCCUGCCUUAAAAGGAGGACGCUCUCGAUCCAGGAAAUUUCUCACCCGAAUUUUGUUUUUCACAACUCUUAACUUGACGGAUGUGGGAUGUUUGGGGCCUUCUUCUCCAGAGGAUCUUCCUUGAUCCAAAAACGUUGAGUGGGGCUUGUGAUUCAAGAAGACAAUGUUGGCCACCAUGUUUUCGAAGCUUGCUCACUUGGCUUGAGAUGGGUUUCACCUCUUCUCCAUUCAGGGUUUCAUUAAUGGGUGCGUGUGUGUGUUUAUUUUAACCACGGAUCUGUGAAGACGGGAUGGCAAAAGAAGGUUCUCAUUAUGUGAGCCCAUAGUUCUUGGUUGGGUUUGAAGUCCAAGCCAAGAUUUGAGGUGACCAAGAUCCGGUCCUUCCUCCCGACCUCAGGAUCCUUCCCAUAAUAAUUCUGGACACCUCAUUUCCUCAAGUUUCUUUCUCCAACUCCAGAAAUUGGGAUGUUGUAGGAAGAAGACCAUAGUAGAUCAUGGUUGGGUUGAAGGGUAGCCAUCAAGAAAGGCACUUGAUGAGUUAGUUGAAAAAGAUAUGGUUGCAAACCCCCCUUCCAACCCUGGUUUGUCCAAGAAUGGAUCUGGUUUGGUCAUGGGUAGCCAGGGACCAUCUUCCCAGGCAACCCAACCCAACUCAACUCAACCCAAUGCAACUCAACCCAACCCAACCCAUGACAUACAAGAUCUUUCAAUUUUUGCAGUCCAUGAUGGGGAAUCUUCUUCAGGAGAAGAACUGGGAUUUAUGGGGAGCCCCAUGGCCACCUGGAGAGGACGCUUCAAGCAGCCUUUGUACUAGAGACCAUAACUGGAGGAGAAAUUGGGCUGCCCUCCC